ACGAACAACGGGGUUCGCCCCUUGUCCACAAACACACCCCCGUGCACGUUGAAGGCCCGGCUCGUUGAGUGGGUGGGCGACCGCCCAGGAUUCGUAGCCUCGCUUUCUUACACAAACUUCAGAAUGUACAUCAGAAUGUAAGAACAACGGGGUUUGCCCCUUGUUCCCCAACCCCCCCCCGUUCCAGUUGAAGGCCCGGGUUGUUGAAUGGGUGGGCCGCCCCCCCGGGUUUGGAACCUUGGUUUUUUUCCCCAAAUUUCGAAAGGACCUUCGAAAGGUCUUACGCGUGUAACGCAUCGUAAUAUAACUUUCAGCAACGGAUCUCUUGGCUCUCGCAUCGAUGAAGAACGCAGCGAAAUGCGAUAAGUAAUGUGAAUUGCAGAAUUCAGUGAAUCAUCGAAUCUUUGAACGCACCUUGCGCUCCUUGGCAUUCCGAGGAGCAUGCCUGUUUGAGUGUCAUGAAACUCUCAACCCCUGCCAUCUUUGCGGAUGAGCGUCGGUUGGAUUUUGGAGGUUGCCGGACUCGUUCGGCUCCUCUUGAAAGCAUAGUAAAGCUUGGACCUGACCGACCGGGUGGACGUGAUAGAAAGUCACCGUCGACCGAAGGGUCCGUCGCUGAACGGUUCAAGCUUUGUUUGUCG
RNAcentral lists this unclassified non-coding RNA (641 nucleotides) under Laetiporus sulphureus. RNAcentral describes it as "sequence contains 18S rRNA gene, ITS1, 5.8S rRNA gene, ITS2". The stretch from base 306 to 459 matches the Rfam family "5.8S ribosomal RNA". Lineage: Eukaryota; Fungi; Basidiomycota; Agaricomycetes; Polyporales; Laetiporaceae. The record is from RNAcentral.